AUUGAACGCUGGCGGCAGGCCUAACACAUGCAAGUCGAGCGGAUGAAGGGAGCUUGCUCCUGGAUUCAGCGGCGGACGGGUGAGUAAUGCCUAGGAAUCUGCCUGGUAGUGGGGGAUAACGUCCGGAAACGGGCGCUAAUACCGCAUACGUCCUGAGGGAGAAAGUGGGGGAUCUUCGGACCUCACGCUAUCAGAUGAGCCUAGGUCGGAUUAGCUAGUUGGUGGGGUAAAGGCCUACCAAGGCGACGACCCGUAACUGGUCUGAGAGGAUGAUCAGUCACACUGGAACUGAGACACGGUCCAGACUCCUACGGGAGGCAGCAGUGGGGAAUAUUGGACAAUGGGCGAAAGCCUGAUCCAGCCAUGCCGCGUGUGUGAAGAAGGUCUUCGGAUUGUAAAGCACCUUAAGUUGGGAGGAAGGGCAGUAAGUUAAUACCUUGCUGUUUUGACGUUACCAACAGAAUAAGCACCGGCUAACUUCGUG
This 484-nucleotide ribosomal RNA is filed under the name uncultured bacterium. RNAcentral's name for it is "partial 16S ribosomal RNA". It matches the Rfam family "Bacterial small subunit ribosomal RNA", at positions 30 to 507 of the family's 1533-position model. The record is from RNAcentral.